GAUGAACGCUGGCGGCGUGCCUAAUACAUGCAAGUCGAGCGAACGGACGAGAAGCUUGCUUCUCUGAUGUUAGCGGCGGACGGGUGAGUAACACGUGGAUAACCUACCUAUAAGACUGGGAUAACUUCGGGAAACCGGAGCUAAUACCGGAUAAUAUUUUGAACCGCAUGGUUCAAAAGUGAAAGACGGUCUUGCUGUCACUUAUAGAUGGAUCCGCGCUGCAUUAGCUAGUUGGUAAGGUAACGGCUUACCAAGGCAACGAUGCAUAGCCGACCUGAGAGGGUGAUCGGCCACACUGGAACUGAGACACGGUCCAGACUCCUACGGGAGGCAGCAGUAGGGAAUCUUCCGCAAUGGGCGAAAGCCUGACGGAGCAACGCCGCGUGAGUGAUGAAGGUCUUCGGAUCGUAAAACUCUGUUAUUAGGGAAGAACAUAUGUGUAAGUAACUGUGCACAUCUUGACGGUACCUAAUCAGAAAGCCACGGCUAACUACGUGCCAGCAGCCGCGGUAAUACGUAGGUGGCAAGCGUUAUCCGGAAUUAUUGGGCGUAAAGCGCGCGUAGGCGGUUUUUUAAGUCUGAUGUGAAAGCCCACGGCUCAACCGUGGAGGGUCAUUGGAAACUGGAAAACUUGAGUGCAGAAGAGGAAAGUGGAAUUCCAUGUGUAGCGGUGAAAUGCGCAGAGAUAUGGAGGAACACCAGUGGCGAAGGCGACUUUCUGGUCUGUAACUGACGCUGAUGUGCGAAAGCGUGGGGAUCAAACAGGAUUAGAUACCCUGGUAGUCCACGCCGUAAACGAUGAGUGCUAAGUGUUAGGGGGUUUCCGCCCCUUAGUGCUGCAGCUAACGCAUUAAGCACUCCGCCUGGGGAGUACGACCGCAAGGUUGAAACUCAAAGGAAUUGACGGGGACCCGCACAAGCGGUGGAGCAUGUGGUUUAAUUCGAAGCAACGCGAAGAACCUUACCAAAUCUUGACAUCCUUUGACGACUCUAGAGAUAGAGCUUUUCCCUUCGGGGGACAAAGUGACAGGUGGUGCAUGGUUGUCGUCAGCUCGUGUCGUGAGAUGUUGGGUUAAGUCCCGCAACGAGCGCAACCCUUAAGCUUAGUUGCCAUCAUUAAGUUGGGCACUCUAAGUUGACUGCCGGUGACAAACCGGAGGAAGGUGGGGAUGACGUCAAAUCAUCAUGCCCCUUAUGAUUUGGGCUACACACGUGCUACAAUGGACAAUACAAAGGGCAGCGAAACCGCGAGGUCAAGCAAAUCCCAUAAAGUUGUUCUCAGUUCGGAUUGUAGUCUGCAACUCGACUACAUGAAGCUGGAAUCGCUAGUAAUCGUAGAUCAGCAUGCUACGGUGAAUACGUUCCCGGGUCU
RNAcentral lists this ribosomal RNA (1372 nucleotides) under uncultured bacterium. RNAcentral describes it as "bacterial SSU rRNA". It matches the Rfam family "Bacterial small subunit ribosomal RNA", at positions 28 to 1381 of the family's 1533-position model. The record is from RNAcentral.